Molecule: ribosomal RNA, 253 nt
Filed under: uncultured bacterium
Lineage: Bacteria
Description: partial 16S ribosomal RNA
Rfam family: Bacterial small subunit ribosomal RNA
Source: RNAcentral
UACGUAGGGGGCAAGCGUUGUCCGGAUUUACUGGGCGUAAAGGGCGCGUAGGCGGUCCGAUAAGUCCCGUGUGAAAGCCCCCGGCUCAACUGGGGAACUGCACGGGAAACUGACGGACUUGAGUUCGGGAGAGGGAAGCGGAAUUCCGGGUGUAGCGGUGAAAUGCGUAGAUAUCCGGAGGAACACCGGUGGCGAAGGCGGCUUCCUGGACCGACACUGACGCUGAGGCGCGAAAGCUAGGGGAGCAAACGGG